This is a long non-coding RNA of Ornithorhynchus anatinus (platypus), 223 nucleotides long. RefSeq lists it as uncharacterized. The record is from RefSeq and is a predicted model, not a curated record. Lineage: Eukaryota; Metazoa; Chordata; Mammalia; Monotremata; Ornithorhynchidae. The transcript is spliced from 2 exons.
UCUAGGAAGUGGGAGAAACCGGAAUGAGGUGAAACUGCAGCUCCAGGGCUGGGCCCUCCCAGUGAAGGCCAAGGAUGUGAGGUGGAGACACAAGAGGACUUCAGGGGAAAACAAAAGUCAAGACUGUGGGCCAGGGGGUGCUUGACAUCACAUGCUGCUUCUGGCCUACUGGGGCCCAGGGGAGAGAAGGGCCGUGAUAAAAUAAAGCAGACUCAAAAGCUUG